RNAcentral lists this ribosomal RNA (402 nucleotides) under Verrucomicrobiota bacterium. Its description in RNAcentral is "Verrucomicrobia bacterium partial 16S ribosomal RNA". It matches the Rfam family "Bacterial small subunit ribosomal RNA", at positions 355 to 776 of the family's 1533-position model. The record is from RNAcentral. Lineage: Bacteria; Pseudomonadati; Verrucomicrobiota.
UGGGGAAUUUUGCACAAUGGGGGAAACCCUGAUGCAGCGACGCCGCGUGAUUUAGAAGGCCUUCGGGUUGUAAAAAUCUUUUCUAUGGGAAGAAAAUGACAGUACCAUAGGAAUAAGGACCGGCUAAUUACGUGCCAGCAGCCGCGGUAAUACGUAAGGUCCGAGCGUUGUCCGGAAUCAUUGGGCGUAAAGGGUACGUAGGCGGGUAAGCAAGUUAGAAGUGAAAUCCUGUAGCUCAACUGCAGUAAGCUUUUAAAACUGCUCAUCUUGAGAUAUGGAAGGGAAAGUGGAAUUCCUAGUGUAGCGGUGAAAUGCGCAGAUAUUAGGAGGAAUACCGGUGGCGAAGGCGACUUUCUGGCCAUAAUCUGACGCUGAGGUACGAAAGCGUGGGUAGCAAACAGG